UACGUAGGGUGCGAGCGUUGUCCGGAAUUAUUGGGCGUAAAGGGCUCGUAGGCGGUUUGUCGCGUCGGGAGUGAAAACGCCGUGCUUAACACGGCGCUUGCUUUCGAUACGGGCAGACUAGAGGUAUGCAGGGGAGAACGGAAUUCCUGGUGUAGCGGUGAAAUGCGCAGAUAUCAGGAGGAACACCGGUGGCGAAGGCGGUUCUCUGGGCCUGUACUGACGCUGAGGAACGAAAGCGUGGGGAGCGAACAGG
RNAcentral lists this ribosomal RNA (253 nucleotides) under uncultured bacterium. RNAcentral describes it as "partial 16S ribosomal RNA". It matches the Rfam family "Bacterial small subunit ribosomal RNA", at positions 524 to 776 of the family's 1533-position model. The record is from RNAcentral.